Molecule: long non-coding RNA, 653 nt
Filed under: Solanum tuberosum (potato)
Lineage: Eukaryota; Viridiplantae; Streptophyta; Magnoliopsida; Solanales; Solanaceae
Description: long non-coding RNA (STUB_LNC002624)
Source: RNAcentral
AGGCAACAAUCAGAUUAAAAACAAAAAUAGAUUUUAACAUUCAAUCCAACAUCUUUUGUUAAGUAUAUUAGAGCCAAUUUUCAUCUUUAAUCUCGACACACAAAAUUCGUUAAGCAUUUUAUUCAAAAAUAGAUGUAGUUUUUGGUUGAGAACAUAUGGGCAAACUUGGGCAAUUAGAGAGAACAGAAUUCAAAGUCUAUAGUAGUGGAAUAAGGAUGAAUAUGGGCAGUGGAAAUAAUGUGUUAUCACAGACACGGAGGAACUGCUUGCUGGCUAGAUCCCAAUUUAACCAAUAGUUGGGAAUGAUGAUGCAAGUAACCAGAGAAGGGGGUAUAGAGGGGGCCUAACUGAUUUGGGUAGCUUAGUGCUUCAGAUCAGCUUCUAAGAAAACUCGCUUGGGCUUGACAAUACGAGGUGAUUUGAUCCGUUGCCCGGUGAUCUCUGAGCUAUCAUACACAGCCUGAUAUGUUUUCUAAUCCUCUCAGAUUUUCCAAAUCAAUCAAUAAAAGCUCUGCCAAUAUUCACUCCUCUGCUCAACUCCACUGACCCAUCUCACGAAGCCACCAGAAAACAUAAAUGGAAAUCCACGGUAGUCUGGACACUCAACGACCUGCUUUUAGGUUUAUUUUGGUAGUGGAUUGGGCUUAAUCGUG